RNAcentral lists this ribosomal RNA (254 nucleotides) under uncultured bacterium. Its description in RNAcentral is "partial 16S ribosomal RNA". It matches the Rfam family "Bacterial small subunit ribosomal RNA", at positions 524 to 776 of the family's 1533-position model. The record is from RNAcentral.
UACGGGGGGAGCAAGCGUUGUUCGGAUUUACUGGGCGUAAAGGGCGCGUAGGCGGCCAGCGCAAGUCAGUUGUGAAAUCUCCGGGCUUAACUCGGAAAGGUCAACUGAUACUGCGCGGCUAGAGUGCAGAAGGGGCAACUGGAAUUCUCGGUGUAGCGGUGAAAUGCGUAGAUAUCGAGAGGAACACCUGCGGCGAAGGCGGGUUGCUGGGCUGACACUGACGCUGAUGCGCGAAAGCGUGGGGAGCAAACAGG